AACAAAGCUAUUAAGUUGGCUUGACACUAUUUGUUUUGGACAAAUCCAUGUUGACUGUUACUUAUCACCUUAUUAUCUUCUAGAUGUUUGCAAACUGAUUGCUUAAUUUUUUGCUCCAUUUUCUUUCCGGAUACAGAAGUUAAGCUGA
Chelonia mydas (Green sea turtle) is the source of this 148-nucleotide long non-coding RNA. RefSeq lists it as uncharacterized. The record is from RefSeq and is a predicted model, not a curated record. The transcript is spliced from 3 exons. NCBI's taxonomy places the organism in Eukaryota, Metazoa, Chordata, Testudines, Cheloniidae.